AUAUAUAUAGUAUAAACAAUUACAUUUAAUUUCCAAUUAAAAAAUUUUAAUAAAAUAUAUAUA
This 63-nucleotide transfer RNA is filed under the name Andrena fulva. Its description in RNAcentral is "tRNA-Gly". Lineage: Eukaryota; Metazoa; Arthropoda; Insecta; Hymenoptera; Andrenidae. The record is from RNAcentral.